GCGAAUACCGGAGAAUGUUAUCACGGGAGACACACGGCGGGUGCUAACGUCCGUCGUGAAGAGGGAAACAACCCAGACCGCCAGCUAAGGUCCCAAAGUCAUGGUUAAGUGGGAAACGAUGUGGGAAGGCCCAGACAGCCAGGAUGUUGGCUUAGAAGCAGCCAUCAUUUAAAGAAAGCGUAAUAGCUCACUGGUCGAGUCGGCCUGCGCGGAAGAUGUAACGGGGCUAAACCAUGCACCGAAGCUGCGGCAGCGAACGUAUCACUUAAAGCGAUUCAGCGGGUUACGAUUGACGGAGCGAAGCGACGUCAAAGCGUAUACAAAGUCGAGUCGGUUUAAGGAUACGUUCGUUGGGUAGGGGAGCGUUCUGUAAGCCUGUGAAGGUGGCCUGUGAGGGUUGCUGGAGGUAUCAGAAGUGCGAAUGCUGACAUAAGUAACGAUAAAGCGGGUGAAAAGCCCGCUCGCCGGAAGACCAAGGGUUCCUGUCCAACGUUAAUCGGGGCAGGGUGAGUCGACCCCUAAGGCGAGGCCGAAAGGCGUAGUCGAUGGGAAACGGGUUAAUAUUCCCGUACUUGGUGUUACUGCGAAGGGGGGACGGAGAAGGCUAUGUUGGCCGGGCGACGGUUGUCCCGGUUUAAGCGUGUAGGUGUGUGUUCCAGGUAAAUCCGGUUCACUUUAACACUGAGGCGUGACGACGAGGCACUACGGUGCUGAAGCAACAAAUGCCCUGCUUCCAGGAAAAGCCUCUAAGCAUCAGGUAACAUCAAAUCGUACCCCAAACCGACACAGGUGGUCAGGUAGAGAAUACCAAGGCGCUUGAGAGAACUCGGGUGAAGGAACUAGGCAAAAUGGUGCCGUAACUUCGGGAGAAGGCACGCUGACACGUAGGUGAAGUGAUUUACUCAUGGAGCUGAAGUCAGUCGAAGAUACCAGCUGGCUGCAACUGUUUAUUAAAAACACAGCACUGUGCAAACA
RNAcentral lists this ribosomal RNA (975 nucleotides) under Salmonella enterica subsp. enterica serovar Agona. Its description in RNAcentral is "partial 23S ribosomal RNA". It matches the Rfam family "Bacterial large subunit ribosomal RNA", at positions 956 to 1831 of the family's 2925-position model. The record is from RNAcentral. Lineage: Bacteria; Pseudomonadati; Pseudomonadota; Gammaproteobacteria; Enterobacterales; Enterobacteriaceae.